GCCCAGUGAUGAGACCAAGGCGAAUACGAGCUUACUGAACGAGAGCUGGGUUCUUCUUGCCUUUAUUGGCGGGUAAUCUUGGCAGUGCAGAGGAGCAUUCCUGCUCUGCUGUAAGGGCCCGCCAACAGUGAACUGGCUCAACCCAAAUUAUUCCUCUACAGUCAAAGCAGAGUAAUUGCUGGGAUAAAGCCGACAGUGUGUUUUGUGUGUGUGUGUGUGUGUGUGUGUGGUUGCGUGUGUAUGUGUAAGAGGCAAGGAGUUCACCCAGCUCUCUUUAAGGUUCAGUUUGCAAUGAGUUGCUCUUUGGUAAUCUGAGGGCA
This is a small nucleolar RNA of Anoplopoma fimbria (sablefish), 320 nucleotides long. NCBI's taxonomy places the organism in Eukaryota, Metazoa, Chordata, Actinopteri, Perciformes, Anoplopomatidae. The record is from RefSeq and is a predicted model, not a curated record.